RNAcentral lists this ribosomal RNA (428 nucleotides) under uncultured bacterium. RNAcentral describes it as "bacterial SSU rRNA". It matches the Rfam family "Bacterial small subunit ribosomal RNA", at positions 356 to 775 of the family's 1533-position model. The record is from RNAcentral.
GGGGAAUUUUGCGCAAUGGGGGAAACCCUGACGCAGCAACGCCGCGUGAGUGAUGAAGGCCUUCGGGUCGUAAAGCUCUGUCAGAGGGGAAGAAAUGCAGGGGUGCUAAUAUCAUCUUUGCUUGACGGUACCCUCAAAGGAAGCACCGGCUAACUCCGUGCCAGCAGCCGCGGUAAUACGGAGGGUGCGAGCGUUGUUCGGAAUUAUUGGGCGUAAAGCGCGUGUAGGCGGUUUGGUAAGUCUGAUGUGAAAGCCCCGGGCUCAACCUGGGAAGUGCAUUGGAAACUGUCAGACUUGAAUACGGGAAAGGGUAGUGGAAUUCCUAGUGUAGGAGUGAAAUCCGUAGAUAUUAGGAGGAACACCGGUGGCGAAGGCGGCUACCUGGACCGAUAUUGACGCUGAGACGCGAAAGCGUGGGGAGCAAACAG